This 72-nucleotide transfer RNA is filed under the name Mycobacterium phage Wildcat. It matches the Rfam family "tRNA". Rfam says of the family: Transfer RNA (tRNA) molecules are approximately 80 nucleotides in length. Their secondary structure includes four short double-helical elements and three loops (D, anti-codon, and T loops). Further hydrogen bonds mediate the characteristic L-shaped molecular structure. tRNAs have two regions of fundamental functional importance: the anti-codon, which is responsible for specific mRNA codon recognition, and the 3' end, to which the tRNAs corresponding amino acid is attached (by aminoacyl-tRNA synthetases). tRNAs cope with the degeneracy of the genetic code in two manners: having more than one tRNA (with a specific anti-codon) for a particular amino acid; and 'wobble' base-pairing, i.e. permitting non-standard base-pairing at the 3rd anti-codon position. The record is from Rfam by way of RNAcentral. Lineage: Duplodnaviria; Heunggongvirae; Uroviricota; Caudoviricetes; Vilmaviridae.
UGGCCCGUAGUUCAACGGUAAGAACGGAUCGCUGAUAACGAUCAGACAAGAGUUCAACUCUCUUCGGGCCAA